RNAcentral lists this ribosomal RNA (405 nucleotides) under uncultured bacterium. Its description in RNAcentral is "partial 16S ribosomal RNA". It matches the Rfam family "Bacterial small subunit ribosomal RNA", at positions 28 to 526 of the family's 1533-position model. The record is from RNAcentral.
GACGAACGCUGGCGGCGUGCUUAACACAUGCAAGUCGAGCGGAGCGGCGAACGGGUGAGUAACGCGUGAGUAACUGCCCCCCUCUCUGGGAUAACAGUUGGAAACGGCUGCUAAUACCGGAUAGUGGGGGAUGACUCGCGUCCUAUCCGCUUGUGGGUGGGGUAGUGGCCUACCAAGGCGACGACGGGUAGCCGGCCUGGGAGGGCGACCGGCAACAUUGGGCUGAGAGACGGCACAAACGCCUACGGGAGGCAACAGGGGGGAAUAUGGCACAAGGGGGGAAACCCUGAUGCAGAAACGCCGCGUGCGGGAUGACGGGCUUCGGGUUGUAAACCGCUUUCAGCCAUGACGCGGUAGUGGCAGAAGAAGCACCGGCUAACUACGUGCCAGCAGCCGCGGUAAUUC